AUGAACUAGAGGAAGCACCAAACAAUCUGAAUUCAAGAGUGAAGAUGAACAUACAAUCAUGGUUCCAACGUGCCAAAAGCAUAUCUUCAUCUUCAUCACAACCAUCAACCAAUCAAAAUGAAGAACACCAGUUGUACGGAAUCACAGACGACUUAAUCAACCUCCUCAAAUCAUUCACUCUCGAAACAUUCAGGAACUUCAAUCUCCAAGAUGAACAAGGAGCCGUUGAUGGACCUGAAUCCACGAAGGAUUUGUCUUCUUGGCAAGAGAAACAUGUUGUGCUUGUUUUGUCCAAAGUUAAGGUUAGGGUUUUUUGUGGUUUUGAAUUUAGGUUUUAGGGUUUAUUAAAAUGUUUAGUUUAACUGUAAUUAUGCAAUUGCAAUAGGCAUUUACAUUCAGAAUUGGAUAAUCUGAUGGUGAUUUGGUGUUUAUAUAAAUUAUUGUUGUUGCUUCACUAAA
This is a long non-coding RNA of Helianthus annuus (common sunflower), 459 nucleotides long. RefSeq lists it as uncharacterized. The record is from RefSeq and is a predicted model, not a curated record. Lineage: Eukaryota; Viridiplantae; Streptophyta; Magnoliopsida; Asterales; Asteraceae. The transcript has 2 exons.